CGUGCGGACACCAAGCCAAACCAGGGAGCUAUAUAAACUAUGUGGUUUGUAACUCUGCACUGAUGUGAGCAUGCGCUGUGGAUUAAACGCAUACCCGGAAAUAAAAAUACAGAAACGGCGAUUAUUUUUAAACAUGUUUAAUUAAUUUACAAAAUGUAACGGCACAUGACAAGGAAUAGCUGAGCUGCGAAGGCUUCGACAUAAUGCUAGGGUUUAACAUUUCAUUUAUUUGUGUAUUAGUGGCAGGCAAUACUAAUACCACAGAUGAACAUCUUUACUAUUACUACAUCAGGACUGUGCCCACAUCACUGACGAUGCACCACCUGUGCAGCGCAUAACCAAAGAGGAGUUAUCUCUGUACAGCGGAGAGAACAGCAAGGGCCUUUACCUGUCCAUCCUAUAAUGUUUACAUAUUUUGCACAACUCAUCUCAUAUGUAUAUAUUAUAUUCUACUGUAUUUUAGUCAAUGCCGCUCCGACAUUGCUCGUCCAAAUAUGUAUAUAUUCUUCUUAACUCCGUUCCUUUACUUUAAAUGUGUGUAUUGUUGUGAAAUUGUUGGAUCUUACUUGUUAGAUAUUACUGCACUGUUGGAGCUAGAAACACAAGCAUUUCGCUAAACCCGCAAUAACAUCUGCAAAACGUGUAUGUGACCAAUACAAUUUGUUCCUAGGACAGGUGUUCGAUGUAGAAAAAGGGAUGAAGCACUAUGGACCUUGCGGUGGUUAUAAUUUAUUUACAGGUGAUUUUCUCUACCUAGCUAGCUAACUUAGUUGACUGCUUUGGCUAGCCAAAAGGGACUCCAUUUGAAAGUUGCAUCAUCUUAUCCUUUAAGGCUUUAGAAGUGUUCUUACACUGAUUGUUGAACAUUCAGGGCAACUGGGACGCAUCAGUGGCAGGCAUUGUUGUCACCUUAGCUUGCAACAUAACUUCUUGCGUGAUAGGAACCCUGAGCACCACCAGCAAUCAGUCUACACCACUGAGCACACCCCCGUUGUUACUAUGACAACGGACAUGCAAAUCCAAAUUGUCACUUGUCUCUUGCUGUUUUGGACAGUCAGUAUACCAAAACGGAUUUAUUUUUAAUGAUUGGAGCUUUAAGGCCUGCAGUGAGAACAAGAAUUAAAUGUACAUGAAAACAUGUACAAGAUUAUAUAGCAAAUACACUUCAAAAGAUACACAGAUUUUGGCAGACUUGUGAAUUCAUUUUAUGCUCCAUCUCUGGCCUUUGUCACUGGGGACUUUACACAUACCAGUCUGACUGAUGAUGUGUCCAGUCUGACCUCUGCUCAGGUGGUGUCCCUGUAAGACUGGCUGACCUUCUAUCACAAGGACUACAAGCCUAUGGGCAGACUGGUGGGGGCAGUUUUACAGUGAUGGUGGAGAGCCCACAGUGGCCUUGCUGCAGGUGGAGGCAGCCCUGGAGGAGGGGCAGACACUCAAGGACCAAGCCCAGUCUGAGAAGUAACACCUCCCAGCCAGCAACUCAGAGUGGAGUGCUGCCAGGAGAGGACGGGUCUGGUGCUCCACCAAGAGGAACUGACAUCAUGGUGCACAGAGAAACUUCGUGCAUGUUUGACAUUGCAGUCGGAAGUUCAGGCGACUACCGACUGAUUGAUCUACAAAUCACCCGGAAUCAUAAUGGUGGAGUGCAGAGAGACUAGGCCGGCGUACCAAGGGUACUGUUCUCUCCUGGCUCGGGCAGCUCUCACUGUGUAUGUGUCCAGAACUCCUCCACAGUGAAAAACCCUAACAUCCAGGAUUAUGAGGGCUGCCCCCCCACUCACGCUGAGUCAUGUCCUGUCAGAGAGUAGAGGGUGAGGUUAGACAAAAGGGGGCUCUGUGAAGGCUGGGCCACCUCACACACAGACUAUCUACAAGGGCCUAUAUACUGUUAUCUAAAACUUCCCAAUAGUUCUGAAUUAGAAUGACUGGGUAUCUGAUUGUCAGUUUGAAGGUAACCUCUGUUGAAUGGUUUCUGUUCUUUAUGCAUGUACAUUUUAGUUUAAUUAAUAUGCAAUAUGUCAACUAAUUGCAAGUGCAAAUGGCCAAAUACUGUACACUCAAUAAUUAGGAAUAGAAGGGAAAUGUUUUAUACUACAUGGAACCAAAAUAUAAAUGCCACAUGUAAAGUGUUGGGCCCAUGUUUCAUGAGCUGAAAUAAAAUAUCACAGAAAUGUUCUUUGCACAAAUAGUGUAUUUCUCUAAUUUUGUGCAAAAAUGUGUAUUUAAUCCCUGUCAGUGAGCAUUUCUCCUUUGCCAAGAUAAUCCAUCCACCUGACAGGUGUGGCAUAUCAAGAAGCUGAUUAAACAGCAUGAUCAUUACACAGGUGCAACUUGUGCUGGGGAUAAUAAAAGGCCAUUAAUGUGCAGUUUUGUCAUGACACAAUGCCAGACGUCUCACGUUUUUAGGGAUCAUGCAAUUGGUGUGCUGACUGCAGGAAUUGAAUGUUCAUUUCUCUAGCAUAAGCCUCCAAAGUCAUUUUAGAGAAUUUGGCAGUACUUCCAACCAGCCUCACAACCGCAGACCACGUGUAUGGCAUCUUGUUGGCGAGCGGUUUACAGAUGUCAACGAUGUGAACAGAGUGCCCCAUGUUGGCGUGGGGUUAUGUUAUGGGCAGGCAUUAGCAAAAGACAAUGAGCACAAAUGCAUUUUGUUGAUAGCAAUUUGAAUGCACAUAGAUACCGUGACGAGGUCCUGAGGACCAUUGUCACGCCAUUCAUCCGCCGCCAUCACCUCAUAUUUCAGCAUGAUAAAGCACGGCCCCAUGUCGCAAGGAUCUGUACAUAAUUCCUGGAAGCUGAAAAUGUCAAA
Long non-coding RNA from Oncorhynchus kisutch (coho salmon), 2812 nucleotides. RefSeq lists it as uncharacterized. The record is from RefSeq and is a predicted model, not a curated record. The transcript has 3 exons. Lineage: Eukaryota; Metazoa; Chordata; Actinopteri; Salmoniformes; Salmonidae.